UUUUAUACAUUUCAUUUAUAUAUUUUACCGUAUAUUUAAUAUAUUUAAAUAAGAAUUUAUGAAUUUUGGAAAUAAAUAUAUAAUUAACAUAUAUUUAUUUAUUACAUAUUAAUAUUUUCAACGAUUUACGAAAUCGAAAAUGAUUUUAGAAUUUUAAGUAGAAAAGAAUUUGAAUUACGAAAAUUGAUUGAAUUUAGAAAACGAUCCUAUUCAGUUUUGGAUUCGAAUCAUAAAAGCUAAAUCCUAAUUCUAGCCCACUUGGGAAAGCCCAAUAUUAAAACCCAAAACUCAAACCCUCCCUUUACUCUAAUUCACGUAAAACAAAAAUAAAAAAAAAUAAACAAAGCCAAAACCCCAUUUGAACUUCACGUGAAAACGCAAAAGAGAAAAAAAAAAAAAAAAAGAAGCAAAACCUAUCUCUCAUUCAAACUCACGUAAACUAGCAAACCCUCAAACCUUGGUACUCUCUGCCCAGCCGCCAGCCACCAUACACCCGCCGGACCUCCACCGUCCUCGUCACAGCCGCCCCAGCCGCCGACCACCUACCGCCGCCGCGACCGCCAGCUGCACGCAGCAACCGAGUCGCGCCACCCUCUCCUUGCUGUCGCCGAGCAGUGCUGCCGCCUCCGGCCGCGCCUCACCGCCUGCCGCCGUCGUCCUCUCUCGUCGGCGGAGAAUUCUCCUUAGGCGACUUUUGAAUUAUUAAAGUGGUCUUGCAGUUUGUUUACACAAGUCUCUAAGGAUCAAUAAGCGUUGCCCAUCUACAGGUUUGAAGAUGAUGCAUCAUUGGGAUCGGGAUUAGAGAGCUUGUAGUUAUAUUUGUUUU
Spinacia oleracea (spinach) is the source of this 826-nucleotide long non-coding RNA. RefSeq lists it as uncharacterized. The transcript has 5 exons. The record is from RefSeq and is a predicted model, not a curated record. Lineage: Eukaryota; Viridiplantae; Streptophyta; Magnoliopsida; Caryophyllales; Amaranthaceae.